Long non-coding RNA from Aedes albopictus (Asian tiger mosquito), 2180 nucleotides. RefSeq lists it as uncharacterized. Lineage: Eukaryota; Metazoa; Arthropoda; Insecta; Diptera; Culicidae. The transcript is spliced from 2 exons. The record is from RefSeq and is a predicted model, not a curated record.
UAAUGUUACUAAUGAAAACUUAUACUGAAAAAUGUAAUGAGGGGAUCAUUAUACCAGAAAUAUUUACUGUACACAUUAUUGUCAGCCGUUAGCAAGGAACCGAGGUAGACGAAUUCUUCUACCACCUCGAAAGUAUCCUCGCCUAUCGUAACAUUGCUGACAAGGCUUGUCAUGUCUCUCUCAGUCCCACCUAUCAGCAUGCAUUUCGUUUUCGCCGCAUUUACCACCAGUUAGGCUGCUUCACGCGGGUAUACUGUUCGGCACUUUCCAAAUGUUCUAGCAAUUAUAUCCAUGUCAUCCGCAAAAUAGACAAAUUGUCCGGAUUUCGUGAAGAUCGGAGGCGCUUUUUCUCCCGGGAGAGGCGAGUCUGCUGCCUCCGCCUGUCUAUAUCGCUCCACAUUCUGUCGGGUUCCAUGCUGCAGCGUUACCACCCGCGCUGUAUUCUUCUCCAAAACCGCUCUGCACUUCUCGGUAGAUGGGAUGAUUACCUCUAAACGUUCGCACCAUAGAUUCUAUCCAAUACACCUCCUACAACGCAACCAUUCCAAACCCGCAAUUCUUCAGUACAUAGGCUAGUAUGCGGGUGCUCCCAAAGAAGUUGAGAGAUCUGCAUCUCCGCGUCUUACGUGUCAGACGUUGACUUUACGGUGCUUGUUUUUUUUACGGCCGGCUUGCAGGGCCUAACACCCCCCGGUUUACUGUCCGGAGGAACCCAGUAAGUUUGUCGAUGAAAACCCCCUCCCCUCCCCCUCACGGUUCCUGUCAGCAUACGACCACAGUUCCCACCGGGGUUUGUUACCUCAUCUUCCCUAAGGUUGCUCGUAACCCGGCCGGUGCAACGUGGCGGUAGGGGUCGGAAUAGCAUGGCAAGAGGCUGAAGGACCACAAGAGGUCUAAAUCGCAUUGCCAGCUUUUACCGUGCCAAUGCUCUACAAUUUUGAUUGUAUUAAUUAAUAAAAUUUCAAUGGGCUCGACGGCAUACAUCAAUAUUCUAUAGCAGCAAUCACCGAAAAAUAUCAUCAACCAAUAAAUAUAUCAAUUUUAUUAUCCUGAAAAACUAGUAGUGUUCCAUUUUUCUAGAUGGAAAUCCUUAUCGACUUUCACCGCAUUUUUUUUAUGAAAAAAUACCCAUUUUACGAAUCGACAACAAUGUUGAUGAUGAUAUUGAUUUUCACGAGGUAGUGACACUACCUCCUGUCGUUUAUAAAAUAAGCCCUAAAAUGCGAAAUACAUAUUCUUCUUCGUCUGACGAUGUCAACACUGAGCCAAAUCCUGCUUCUCAGCUUAGUGUUAGUCUACGAGCAUUUCCACAGUUAUUCAUUUAGAGCUUCCUCUGCCAAUGUGUUUGUCUCUUUAAAAUUUCUUCAUUCGCAUCCAUAUAAAUUGUGAUGGCUAUAUGUAUGACAUUGUCAAAAGAAUGUUCUCAAUAAACAUUUACAAAUUUUCCAGAGUGAUAAGCAUUAAGCUAAUUUUUAGUCAAAUCUCAAAUCAUUUAGCAUGCAGUGUCCAAGUAUGCCAUUUAUUUUUUCACUAAUACUUUUAAUAUUUAUAAAAUAUCCAGUCAAAUAUCCCAUUUUUAUCCAUGAGGCAUGAUUUUUUUUGCAGGAAUUAGAAAUAUUAUUUAGGAAAACAAAGCACUUUAGGUUACAUUAGUUCAAGUAAAACGAUGGUUUUUAUUUAUUUUAUUUUAUUAUCCUUCAAAGAUACGUGUUUAUAAGGCGCAUUAAAUUUAUCGAAGUACAAAUGCCUAUUUCACCAGAAAAAAUGACUCGCACCACAAUUUCUGGUCAUAGAAAGCCAAUUUUAAGUUGAAAUAGUCUAGCUGAAAUAAUAUCGCAAGCCAUAUUUUGCACUUGAAUAGUUUUUUUUUUGACAUUUUGCAACAAACAUUGAUUACGCUUUAGAAAAGAAACUGAAUUUUCAUCCUCAAUUGAAAAAGAAGACGUGUAGUUUGUUUAUUGAAAGUUGUCAGAAUUAUGUAUUGUAAAACAUACUAAGAAACAUUAUUAAGUAUGCUUUGAUUCAUAUAGAACAUAAUUAUAACAUCUCAAAUAUGUUGCCGAAGCUCCACCUUCUGCGCUUUUUCGGUCAUAUAUCUGUCUGAAAAACGGUUUUAUUGUUAUGAACCAAAACACAGUAACUGGUCAUAUUGGAGUCGAAAUAAUUCCUAUAGAACAUGU